This 492-nucleotide ribosomal RNA is filed under the name uncultured bacterium. RNAcentral describes it as "partial 16S ribosomal RNA". It matches the Rfam family "Bacterial small subunit ribosomal RNA", at positions 28 to 507 of the family's 1533-position model. The record is from RNAcentral.
GAUGAACGCUAGCUACAGGCUUAACACAUGCAAGUCGAGGGGAAACGCCAUCGAAAGCUUGCUUUUGAUGGGCGUCGACCGGCGCACGGGUGAGUAACGCGUAUCCAACCUGCCCACCACUUGGGGAUAACCUUGCGAAAGUAAGACUAAUACCCAAUGACGUCUCUAGAAGACAUCUGAAAGAGAUUAAAGAUUUAUCGGUGAUGGAUGGGGAUGCGUCUGAUUAGCUUGUUGGCGGGGUAACGGCCCACCAAGGCGACGAUCAGUAGGGGUUCUGAGAGGAAGGUCCCCCACAUUGGAACUGAGACACGGUCCAAACUCCUACGGGAGGCAGCAGUGAGGAAUAUUGGUCAAUGGACGAGAGUCUGAACCAGCCAAGUAGCGUGCAGGAGGACGGCCCUAUGGGUUGUAAACUGCUUUUAUAAGGGAAUAAAGUGAGUCUCGUGAGACUUUUUGCAUGUACCUUAUGAAUAAGAACCGGCUAAUUCCGUG